GGAAGCUCAGGCCCAGUAGCAGAAUGCGGCUCCCCAGGCCUUUCUAUGUGGCCCUUGGGACUCUCCCCAAGCCACGCCCCAUCUCUCCAGGCCUCACCCCCUCAGUGUCCCGACUUCGCAGCCUCUUUGGGUGUUUUUUGCCGGGCUGGAAUGAGCCUGCCUUGAACACUUGAUCAUGCUUCUUGCUUUACUAGAUUGACGAUAUGGAGGGUGUAUGAAUGUAGAAACCAGCUUACUGUAUAUUUUAAAAAAAAGUAUAAAAAGUAGGCCCACUUUGGCCUCUGGCCCUUCCCACCACUGACAUGUGGCCCCCACAAGAUUGCACAGAAGGGAAUGUGUCCCUUGGGCUGAAGAAAGAUUCCUCACUCUUGCGUUUUAAUGGACACACCAGUCUUCAAACACAGGAUCCAAAGCAUUGUGAUGUAUGUUUAGAUAUUAAAAACAUUUUCUUUAAUCAGUUCUUAGCAGUCUUAUUGUGCUUUAGAGGACUGUGGGCACAUAUAGUCUUCCUGUAAUCAUAACAAACUUAUUAAUAUCUUUCUACUGCAGGAACAGGAAGGGGAAAUGACUAGAAGGAGCAUUGUGUGUCUGAAUGUGUCUGAGAUCAUCGGUGCUGAGGUGAGAUCUAAGACUUUAUUUGGUCUUGUAGCUCCGGGAGGUGGGGGGGGAGUGCUAAAAAGGGCCUUUGAGAAACAAGUUUAGAUUGUCUGUGGGGUUGUUGGCAUUCAUUUAUGCUGUCUGCUUUAUUUAUCAGCUAGCAUAAGGCGGCCAGGUCUUUAAUUAGAGAAUGUAGCCUCAUCACUGUCCUAUAAAAGAGCUAAUGUGAAUGUUCUUUUGUUUCUUUUAAUAGUGUUGCGAUAUCACGAACGUAAUUAAAAUAGUUGCUGCAUCUGCCUAGCUUCAAUAAGGACACCCUUUGCAGCUCUGUUGAAUCACACAUUUUAUGAGCAACCGAAACACAUCCUAGAGAAACUGAAAUUCAACAUUUUUACACAGCCUAUAAUCAUCUUAAAGGAGUGGUGGUCUCCUUAAGUAUUGUUGUGCUUCAACCUGGUUUCAUUUCAACCUGGGGUGGAGAGAUUGAGUAGAUAUAUGCAGGUUUGCGUAUGUCUAUGGAAGCCAUUUUCCCAAAUAGCCACCAACCAUCCUCCUUCAGAACCUCCCUCAUAUGCCUUGUAGCACCUACAGCCGUACACUUCAACUUGUCCAAAAGGCGACAACUGGAUUAAUGGCCAGCUGUCCUGGUUGUCAGUUCACUUCCAGGCCCUCACAUUAGUACAUAAAGCCUUAGCCCACAAAUAGCUAAAGCAGUGGUGGCCAAACUUGGCCCUCCAGAUGUUUGGGACUACAAUUCCCAUCAUCCCUGACCACUGGUUCUGUUAGCUAGGGAUGGUGGGAGUUGUAGUCUCAAAACAUCUGGAGGGCCAAGUUUGCCCACCACGCAUCUAAAGUCACCUCCUUCCCUACAGGUCCUCUGGGUAGUUUUCCUAACCCUCAGAAGUUCCAAGGGGUGGCAACCUAGGAGAUGGUAUUCGGCCUGUAAAGCGAGAUAAGCACCGCAACCCGAGAGUUGUCUGCGACUGGACGGGGGUCCUUUACCUUUUUUUAUGAUGCAGUUAAAAUAUCUCUGCGUGUAGAAAAUGAAACUAAAGAUCGCUGAGGAGCGGAAACAACAGUACAAAGGACUGACCCACUCGCUGAAUUAAUUGAUGGAUUAAUUGUAUACCCCAGGGGGAAGUGAGCCUUUUUAAUUCUCUUUUGAUAUAUAUGUAUUUGCAGUUUUACCUGACAAACCUCUCCCGAAAGGUAACAGUUUGAAAUACGCAAGGGGGUUUGAAAGAACACUGCUGAUAUCUCCUCAGUGGAAGGAAAAAAUUCUGGACUGGAGCUACUUUGUUUUUGCAGAGGUACCAGCAUUUUGGGAGAUGGUGCGAGACUACGGAAGGGAACUCUGGAUGGCUGCCCAGAGCUAAUGGUGUCUUUUUGUCUGGGACUGUGGCAUAUUAUGGCUCCUGUUGGCAAAAAUAUUUCACACAGAACUAUGAAGACGAAAGUUUGAGCAGACCAGUGGUUGUAAACAUAAAUGAAAAUUAAGUGAAGCAUUAACAUCUGAAUGGUUUGUUCACUAAUUAAGAAAUGCAAUGUGAUAUUAGAUUAUUAGCAC
Molecule: long non-coding RNA, 2164 nt
Filed under: Podarcis lilfordi (Lilford's wall lizard)
Lineage: Eukaryota; Metazoa; Chordata; Lepidosauria; Squamata; Lacertidae
Source: RNAcentral